UUGCUAGGGACCUAGAUGCUGAUGGUACUC
RNAcentral lists this non-coding RNA (30 nucleotides) under Homo sapiens (human). Lineage: Eukaryota; Metazoa; Chordata; Mammalia; Primates; Hominidae. The record is from RNAcentral.